CAGCAGACACAUUCCAGCCAGUCAGCAGCAGACCCUCCCUCCCAGACCCUCUCACCUCCUGGACAGCUCACUAAGAAUGCAGCUUCACAAUGAAUGUAAAAUGGAUGCUGUCCAGGAGGUGGGAGGGUCUGGGAGGGAGGGUCUGCUGCUGAUUGGCUGGAAUGUGUCUGCUG
This 173-nucleotide microRNA precursor is filed under the name Pelobates cultripes (western spadefoot toad). Lineage: Eukaryota; Metazoa; Chordata; Amphibia; Anura; Pelobatidae. The record is from RNAcentral.